Molecule: unclassified non-coding RNA, 517 nt
Filed under: uncultured soil eukaryote
Lineage: Eukaryota
Description: sequence contains 5.8S rRNA gene, ITS2, 28S rRNA gene
Rfam family: 5.8S ribosomal RNA (bases 1-154)
Source: RNAcentral
AACUAUUAACGGUGGAUCACUCGGCUCAUAGAUCGAUGAAGAAGGCAGCUAGCUGCCAUAAGCGGUGUGAAUUGCAGGACACACUGAACACUAGAUUUUCGAACGCACAUUGCACCUUCGGGUCUUUCCCGAAGGUACGCCUGUCUGAGGGUCGGAAUAAAAUUGACUCAUACGAAGGCUCGUAUCGAGAGACAAGCACUAGUUGCUACACUUUCGUCGAGCAUGAGACGUUAGCGUGAUGAUAAGUCAGCCUUUUGCUUGCUGUCUUGUACGGCACAGAAGCGGCUAUCAGCGGCAACACUACCCGUUGCUGCUGCGCUUCAGCCCUUGAGUUACAAGUCAACCAAGUAGAUGCGAGACAAACUAUCCGCUAAAAACACUAACUGCCGGAGUAUCUCCGACAAACUUUUCUGUCGACCUCAGAUCAGACGAGAUUACCCACUGAAUUUAAGCAUAUAAAUAAGUGGAGGAAAAGAAACCAAAAGGGAUUCCCUGAGUAAUGGCGAACGAAAGGGGA